GUUAUUUUAGAAGGUUAAAAAUGCUAUUAGUUUACUGUACAGUGCAACCAUAGGCAGUCACACACAUCAAAACAUGGUUCCUGCCGACUGGGUCUGUAUAGUUAUCAGAUUUUCUGUGCGAUGGCUCCAUACAUG
This is a non-coding RNA of Eptesicus fuscus (big brown bat), 135 nucleotides long. NCBI's taxonomy places the organism in Eukaryota, Metazoa, Chordata, Mammalia, Chiroptera, Vespertilionidae. The record is from RefSeq and is a predicted model, not a curated record.